Molecule: long non-coding RNA, 329 nt
Filed under: Androctonus crassicauda
Lineage: Eukaryota; Metazoa; Arthropoda; Arachnida; Scorpiones; Buthidae
Source: RNAcentral
GUUUUUUUUGAAAUUAAUUUUUUGAGGUCGGUUGUAACCUCACGUGAUUAUCGAAAUUAACAAGUUUUUGCAUUUUUUUUGCGUAUUUUUAUGCAAAUAUGCGCACACUCGCGCUUUUUUAGCGCGGACCGAGAGUCUCCGUUUUCUAUAUAUAGUCUGGGCAUGAUCACAUUCGUAACAAUUUACAUGUUGUCAAAUAUUGCUACUGAGAUGUCAUCACAGAAUAUAUCGACGGGCGUGCAGACGACGGUUUCGUUCCCGCCGGAACUUACCAUAUUACAUCCUCCUGUAUCGGGCUGACCUCUUUCAAAAUUUGACCGUGUUUAAUU